UUGGAUCCCAGCUGAAUAGCUUGGAGAUAUGUUUUUUUGAGUCAGAGGCCAUCAGCCCUCUGGAAGCAAAGGAACUGUUUAUGCUUAAGUUAAAAACUACCUCAAACCUGAAGAUAGCAGUUUAUUUCUUCUCAGCAGUUACUUGCACAAGAGCAAAAGCAAAACUGGAUUUAUAAAGAGUUGGCAAGGGAGAAGAAAGAGAAAAGGAAAAUGAAAUAGAUGGAAAAGCUGAACUUGGAAGAAAGGAGAAAGAAAAUGGAAGACAAAUGGAAAUGUGAAAAUUUGAAACCCAUAAAGAAAAAUUGGACAAUGGAUUUGGCUAAAGAAAAGUAUAUAAGAAAGGGGAGAUAGUAAUUUGAUUUAACUAAAAGUCUUCAUUUAAUGCAUCAAUUUACAGAGGAUGGACUUGAAUGAUAACUGAAUGUUGAAAUGGCUGAACUUUAGCAUUACAUAGCGUUCUGAUAGUUAUAGCUAUGAACGUGUACACCAGUCGGCAGAUUAUGAAGCUGUGAAAGGGCAAUGCUCAUAAGCUUGUCCCUGAAUUAAAAUUUAGGACUGUAAAAUGAAACAUAAUCAGACAUCUGUUGAAUUUGUGAAAGAAAAUUAAAUGAUGUGUGAUGAGUGGCUUCAAUCACUGAAGUUAGAACAAAAAGAGAAUGAAGAGAAGUAAUGAUUAUGAAAGAUUUCCAAAAGUAUUUCAUUAAGGCCCUGGCCAAGAAUCCCCACUUUGUUACAUUUCUAAUUGGGAUGCCACAAAGUGUUAGACUCCUGGGAGGGAUGUACUGGUUCCCAUUCUUUAUUCCAUCCUCAUUUGGUUGCAAAGGAUAACUUAAAAAGGAUCCCUUUCUUUGUGGAUACCUUCUCCCCUGACCCAAAUGAACAAGUGUUUUAAAAGGACACAAUUUAACCAGCUUUCCUGAAUUAACAAAGCAUGAAGUUUAUUAAUUAUUAAAUGAAAAAAGAAUUAAUAACACAACACACAUACAGACAGCUUAGAAAUAAGAUGGGAGUCCAAAAG
This is a long non-coding RNA of Rhincodon typus (whale shark), 1018 nucleotides long. RefSeq lists it as uncharacterized. The record is from RefSeq and is a predicted model, not a curated record. NCBI's taxonomy places the organism in Eukaryota, Metazoa, Chordata, Chondrichthyes, Orectolobiformes, Rhincodontidae. The transcript has 2 exons.